RNAcentral lists this ribosomal RNA (547 nucleotides) under [Candida] sp. AEH2005. RNAcentral's name for it is "eukaryotic LSU rRNA". It matches the Rfam family "Eukaryotic large subunit ribosomal RNA", at positions 80 to 641 of the family's 3401-position model. Lineage: Eukaryota; Fungi; Ascomycota; Saccharomycetes; Saccharomycetales. The record is from RNAcentral.
UCAGUAACGGCGAGUGAAGCGGCAAAAGCUCAAAUUUGAAAUCUAGCACCUUCGGUGUUCGAGUUGUAAUUUGAAGAUGGUAACCUUGGGUUUGGCUCUUGUCUAUGUUCCUUGGAACAGGACGUCAUAGAGGGUGAGAAUCCCGUCUGAUGAGAUGCCCAUUCCUAUGUAAGGUGCUAUCGAAGAGUCGAGUUGUUUGGGAAUGCAGCUCUAAGUGGGUGGUAAAUUCCAUCUAAAGCUAAAUAUUGGCGAGAGACCGAUAGCGAACAAGUACAGUGAUGGAAAGAUGAAAAGAACUUUGAAAAGAGAGUGAAAAAGUACGUGAAAUUGUUGAAAGGGAAGGGCAUUAGAUCAGACUUGGUGUUUUACGAUUAUCUUCUCUUCUUGAGUUGUGCACUCGUAUUUCACUGGGCCAGCAUCGAUUCGGAUGGCAAGAUAAUGGCAGUUGAAUGUGGCUUCACUUCGGUGGAGUGUUAUAGCUUCUGCUGAUAUUGCCUGUCUGGAUCGAGGGCUGCGUCUUUUGACUAGGAUGCUGGCGUAAGAUCUA